This 604-nucleotide ribosomal RNA is filed under the name Escherichia coli. Its description in RNAcentral is "partial 23S ribosomal RNA". It matches the Rfam family "Bacterial large subunit ribosomal RNA", at positions 612 to 1217 of the family's 2925-position model. Lineage: Bacteria; Pseudomonadati; Pseudomonadota; Gammaproteobacteria; Enterobacterales; Enterobacteriaceae. The record is from RNAcentral.
AUAAUGGGUCAGCGACUUAUAUUCUGUAGCAAGGUUAACCGAAUAGGGGAGCCGAAGGGAAACCGAGUCUUAACUGGGCGUUAAGUUGCAGGGUAUAGACCCGAAACCCGGUGAUCUAGCCAUGGGCAGGUUGAAGGUUGGGUAACACUAACUGGAGGACCGAACCGACUAAUGUUGAAAAAUUAGCGGAUGACUUGUGGCUGGGGGUGAAAGGCCAAUCAAACCGGGAGAUAGCUGGUUCUCCCCGAAAGCUAUUUAGGUAGCGCCUCGUGAAUUCAUCUCCGGGGGUAGAGCACUGUUUCGGCAAGGGGGUCAUCCCGACUUACCAACCCGAUGCAAACUGCGAAUACCGGAGAAUGUUAUCACGGGAGACACACGGCGGGUGCUAACGUCCGUCGUGAAGAGGGAAACAACCCAGACCGCCAGCUAAGGUCCCAAAGUCAUGGUUAAGUGGGAAACGAUGUGGGAAGGCCCAGACAGCCAGGAUGUUGGCUUAGAAGCAGCCAUCAUUUAAAGAAAGCGUAAUAGCUCACUGGUCGAGUCGGCCUGCGCGGAAGAUGUAACGGGGCUAAACCAUGCACCGAAGCUGCGGCAGCGACGCUGA